CUAAGGUUGCAAGAGAUUGUGGGCCGGCUGGAAUUCAAAACUGCCUAGGCUUACUUAACUCGAAGCUCACCUUCUUUCAACUUAAUCGUGCAGAAAUGGGAGGCUUUUCUAACACAGAUUUUCUUGUUUUCGGGCCCAGUCAUUGUCCCACCUACUUCCCUAGCCAUCAUGUCUCCCUGGGUUAAUGCGAGUCGGGGUGCCACCUCUUGAGCUUUUUCUCUGCGAUCUCAGUGGUUGCUUCUUUAUAGAGUUUAGGCAACAAGAGUUACUUACUGCUAGUUAAAUUGAAAUAUCUUUUUUUUUUUAAGCGAUUCUUUUGAAAUUUUUUCAUAGAGUGCUUUGAAUUUAAAUAGGAUUCCACAGAGACGUUCUGGCACAACUGACUAAAUGAAAGAUUCAAGUAAAAUUUAACCAAAAUAUGGAGAAGAAACAGACGCUGCCAGUUCUGAGCAUUUUCUCAGAAGAAUUGGGGCCAGCACUAGCAGAAAAAGCGCUAUCUUGAUGCAAUUGACCAGAAAUUCUUACAUAGAAAUGCUUCCACAUUGCCAUCUGACUUCUCCUCCGCACGUGUAAUACUUCACAACUCCUGUCCACUCCUAACGCUUAGAAGGGACCUUGCAAAGGAGGCUUUAUUCACUUUCCGGAUAGCAUUGGGAAGCAGUGACUGCUGGUUGUUGCCAUCUCUCCAGUUUCUCAUCUGUUUAGGUGCAACUUGCUCCAUCUGUCAGCUGGGCAUGCUUCUUCUCUACAUCUGCACCCCCUGAAUGAAUGGAUUCCUCUGCUUUGCUGGAGGAAGUAUGGUAGGUGGAAGGUGCCAAACCACAGCACCCAAGCUUCACAUGUGUCUAAUAGGUCUAGUUACGUCAAAAAGACUAACUUCCCUCAGGCCUAAUCUUAACUAAUUGUCUCAGUCUGGAUCAAGUGCCCAAGUCUGUUCCAACCAACAGCGGUCAAUGGAAUGGGUCCCAUUGUACAAGCAUGAGUCAUCAGAGCUCAAUAUGGGGACAUGUUCAUGGGGCAGAGGGAGAAGCAGUGCUAUGUUUUGUGCAUAGAUGCUGGGCUGGCAACACAAUGGCUUAUGGUCAUCACACACUGGUAUACCCCUGAUCUCCUAUAUCUAACUGUCAAUUCUCAUUUAGAUGGAUUGCCAACCAUUAAAACCUUACUAGUUAUUUAUCUGAGCAUUUAUGAUAUAAUAUAUUUUUAUUAGGAGAAUUACAUAUUGUAUAACAUAUAACAGGAGUAUUAUAUAUAACAAAGCAGAAAUAUUUUUAGUAAUAAGAAAAAAGAUACUUAGACUUUAACAACAGAGACAACAUCUUAGUGUUUCCACUCCAGACUGUACAGGAAAUUCCUCAUCAAAUUUCUGAAAACCAUUCUCAGCCAUUAUCCAUUUUUUAUAGUUCUGUCAUCUCUUAGUCUUCAAACAGCAGGGAUGUCCUUUUCUAUAAAACCAUAUGAUUUUGUUGGAAUAAUGAGCUAGAAAUGGAAAUUAAUUCCAACUGGUGAUUCUAUGCUUUCCUGUAACUAAAACAUUGAAAAUAAGACUUAUCUGACCACAUGAUCCUAAAGUAAUAUAGAAAUUUCUUACAGUUACUAGUGCACUAUAGCUUGGCCAUGCUGCAAAGUUCAGUAGAAAUGACUGAUGUAUUGUUUUGUCACCUCAGAGUCAACAAUAAUUGCUGACAUUUAUAAAGUAUCUUUUAUUGCAAAAUAUGGCUAUCUUUUCUGUUGCUCAAAAUGAGUAGGCUUUUGUUCAUGAUUGUAUCCUUUAUUCUUAGAGCAGUGCCAGACAUGUAAUAGGCCCUCAAUAUUUCCGAAUAAAUCAUUGAAAAGUAUUUGGCAAGAAGGAGUCUUAUUACAGGGAUGUCACUUAAUUCCUUGAAUUCUAUGGUAGGUAGUCUCCAAAGAUGCCUGCCAUCAUUUCCUUCCUUCAGGUACAUACAUAUUCUUUCAUCCGACAAGAGGUCAAAUCUAUUUCUUCUACCUUUGUCUUUAGGCUGGUCUUGAAAUUUUCUUUGACCAAUUUAAUUUGGAGAAAGUCAACACCCUUCCAUGCUAAAAAUUCUCAAUAAACUAGGUAUUGAUGGAAUGCAACUCAAAACAAUAAGAGUUAUUUAUGACAAACCCACAGACAAUAUCAUAGUGAAUGGACAGAAGCUGGAAGCAUUCCCUUUGAAAAUCGGCACAAGACAAGGAUGCCCUCUCUCACCACUCCUAUUCAACAUAGUAUUGGAAGUUCUGGCCAGGA
This is a long non-coding RNA of Symphalangus syndactylus (siamang), 2251 nucleotides long. RefSeq lists it as uncharacterized. The record is from RefSeq and is a predicted model, not a curated record. NCBI's taxonomy places the organism in Eukaryota, Metazoa, Chordata, Mammalia, Primates, Hylobatidae.